GGGACUAUCAGUUUCACCUUAAACGAGCCCAUCAUUGAGUUUAACGGAUGCCUCGUAUUAUGUACCACCGGUCCCCUCAAACCUCAAGAUAACCAGCUUUUCUUCUAGCCACGAUCAUCGUUAGAUAUUACUUCCCUUUCCACAACUUUACAGGGGUUCCCAGAUGCCUCUUAAAUCCGAUUAAAACCUCCUGAGUUGGAGUUUUUGUUCUUGGAGGGAUUGAUGUGUUUGUUUGCAGCUCUUCGUGUUCAGCUCAGGUUGUUCAGGUUCUAUCCUUCUGUGGCCCUAAUGAAAUCCCCUCUGUGGCAAACCACAUUUCCCCCCCCUCAGAUCAUAACCACUUCCUAAGAAGGGCUCAAGUCGCUUCCCUUUUGCUUUCUCGUUUCCUACCGCUCUGUAACUUUCCACAGCCUGUCCGGGUGAGCGUGUGCUGUGUCAGACGCUGGCUGACCGACAAUGAGGCAUUAUCACAGUUUUAACCCUAACGAAGCUAUGAUGUGUGGAGGUCUCGGAGCCACAUCAAAAUAAAAAGGGAACAGCCUAGUUUCUGCUUUCACGUUUGGAGCGGCAGCGCAAACUCCUGUAAACUUAGAAGACGAGUUGGCUACCCCAAUCCAGCUCCAGCUUUCUGCAUCAGCAAGAACUGAUGGGACAAACUCCUGGAGCACCACCGUGGUCGGUAAAGCUCGUCCAAGUUCGCUGCUGGGAGGCCACUGGAACAAGAGACUGGAAAUCCUGUCCAGGCAGAGAAGUGCCUCCCUCGCCCUGCACUGCCCCGUGCAGUGAGCAGGAGCCACUCAGUGCUUCCUUAAGUUUAACCUUUUGGUGUACUCAAAAAAAAAAAAAAAAAAAAAAAAGAA
Felis catus (domestic cat) is the source of this 860-nucleotide long non-coding RNA. RefSeq lists it as uncharacterized. The record is from RefSeq and is a predicted model, not a curated record. NCBI's taxonomy places the organism in Eukaryota, Metazoa, Chordata, Mammalia, Carnivora, Felidae. The transcript is spliced from 3 exons.